RNAcentral lists this ribosomal RNA (119 nucleotides) under Pteropus alecto (black flying fox). The record is from RNAcentral. Lineage: Eukaryota; Metazoa; Chordata; Mammalia; Chiroptera; Pteropodidae.
GUCCAUGUCCUUGCUACCUUAAACAAGCCCAAUCCCGUCUGAUCUCGGAAGCUAAGCAGGGUCGAGCCUGGUUAGUACUUGGAUGGGAGACCACCUAGAAAGACCAGGGACUGUAGGCA